Molecule: ribosomal RNA, 301 nt
Filed under: uncultured bacterium
Lineage: Bacteria
Description: partial 16S ribosomal RNA
Rfam family: Bacterial small subunit ribosomal RNA
Source: RNAcentral
CAGCCGCCACGGGAAUACGUAGGGUGCGAGCGUUAAUCGGAAUCACUGGGCGUAAAGCGUGCGCAGGCGGUUUUGUAAGACAGGCGUGAAAUCCCCGGGCUUAACCUGGGAACUGCGUUCUGAACUGGGUAGCUAGAGUGUGUCAGAGGGGGGUAGAAUUCCACGUGUAGCAGUGAAAUGCGUAGAGAUGUGGAGGAAUACCGAUGGCGAAGGCAGCCCCCUGGGAUAACACUGACGUUCAUGCUCGAAAGCGUGGGUAGCAAACAGGAUUAGAUACCCGCGUAGUCCCUGUCUCUUAUAC